This 464-nucleotide ribosomal RNA is filed under the name Vreelandella stevensii. Its description in RNAcentral is "partial 16S ribosomal RNA". It matches the Rfam family "Bacterial small subunit ribosomal RNA", at positions 338 to 795 of the family's 1533-position model. Lineage: Bacteria; Pseudomonadati; Pseudomonadota; Gammaproteobacteria; Oceanospirillales; Halomonadaceae. The record is from RNAcentral.
CCUACGGGGGCUGCAGUGGGGAAUAUUGGACAAUGGGGGCAACCCUGAUCCAGCCAUGCCGCGUGUGUGAAGAAGGCCCUCGGGUUGUAAAGCACUUUCAGUGAGGAAGAACGCCUGGUGGUUAAUACCCAUCAGGAAAGACAUCACUCACAGAAGAAGCACCGGCUAACUCCGUGUCAGCAGCCGCGGUAAUACGGAGGGUGCGAGCGUUAAUCGGAAUUACUGGGCGUAAAGCGCGCGUAGGUGGCUUGAUAAGCCGGUUGUGAAAGCCCCGGGCUCAACCUGGGAACGGCAUCCGGAACUGUCAAGCUAGAGUGCAGGAGAGGAAGGUAGAAUUCCCGGUGUAGCGGUGAAAUGCGUAGAGAUCGGGAGGAAUACCAGUGGCGAAGGCGGCCUUCUGGACUGACACUGACACUGAGGUGCGAAAGCGUGGGUAGCAAACAGGAUUAGAUACCCUGGUAGUC